This 376-nucleotide ribosomal RNA is filed under the name uncultured bacterium. Its description in RNAcentral is "bacterial SSU rRNA". It matches the Rfam family "Bacterial small subunit ribosomal RNA", at positions 523 to 898 of the family's 1533-position model. The record is from RNAcentral.
AUACGUAGGGAGCGAGCGUUGCCCGGAUUUACUGGGUGUAAAGGGUGCGUAGGCGGCUCUGCAAGUCAGGUGUGAAAACCAUCGGCUUAACUGAUGGACUGCAUUUGAAACUGUGGGGCUUGAGUGGAGUAGAGGCAGACGGAAUUCCCGGCGUAGCGGUGAAAUGCGUAGAGAUCGGGAAGAACACCAGUGGCGAAGGCGGUCUGCUGGGCUCUAACUGACGCUGAGGCACGAAAGCAUGGGUAGCAAACAGGAUUAGAUACCCUGGUAGUCCAUGCCGUAAACGAUGAUUACUAGGUGUGGGGAGUCUGACCCUCUCCGUGCCGGAGUUAACACAAUAAGCACUCCGCCUGGGGAGUACGGCCGCAAGGCUGAA